RNAcentral lists this long non-coding RNA (7419 nucleotides) under Podarcis lilfordi (Lilford's wall lizard). The record is from RNAcentral. Lineage: Eukaryota; Metazoa; Chordata; Lepidosauria; Squamata; Lacertidae.
CCCAGCUGUCCCUGAGGAGGGGAAGGAUGUCUGGUUGCAGAACAGCCACUGCUUCUUAAAAGUUAUUCAUGUGAGUAUCACAUCCUUAAUGUAUUUAAAGAGGAACCUCUCUAUUGUAUGUAAGCUGCUUUGGGAGCCUUUUGGAAUGAAGAGUGUGGGAUGAUGAUGAUGAUGACAACAGAAGAAGAAGAAGAAGAAGAAGAAGAAGAAGAAGAAGAAGAAGAAGCAGAAGAAGCAGAAGAAGAAGCUCAAUUUUGGUAUAAAAACUGCACACUUUGAAUUACAGAAUUCUGAAUCCAGGAAUUUAUUUCGAGUACAAAAAUUGAAUAGAGACACACAAGAAUCCACCCCUGGUUACCCAUCCCUCAGCUUUCCUCAUUUCAGCAGUUUAGUGUAAUUUUGUUCCUGCUAUUUUAAACAAUUAGGGUCAGAGAUCUUUGCUGAUAUACUGCCAAUCAUCCCAGAGGUGGGCAGAAAGCAGAUCAUAAUCUACUGGCAGUAUAUCAGCCAGUAGAUUAUGAUCUGCUUUCUGCCCACCUCUGGGACAGAGGAUACUCUUCUGAGAUUCUACAGCAGGGUCAGGGAUUAAGAUCAAGCUGGCAGGCUGGAUCUUGAGCUCCCUUUUUUGACUCGUGGCCCACUUAAGUAGGGAUGCCCACCUAUCAAUCUCCUGACAUCACUAUGGGGUUCCAUAUUCCUCUUCUAAAUUAUAACCCAAAGUACAGUGUGACUUACAUAAAAAUAUCAUAAUUUUUCAGUCUUCCCCUGUGAAACUCUAGGACUGUUUUUGUUUGUUUGUUUGUUUGUUUUGUCAGGAUGAUUGACAGGAUGCUUAGGGCACUGUCACUGAUGCUUAGGACAUUUUUGGAUAGAUGGUCUAUCCCUUAUAAUGCCAUUACUACCCUUGUGUUGAUAAGUCAGUUCCUGUGACACUAACUAUGGAAAUGGUCAUGCGACUACAAUUCUCAUAUUCUUUACAGUAGCCCAAUAGAGGCCCAGCCAUGCAGACAUAGAUCUGUACUGUUUGCAUGGAAAAAGGAAAAGCAAAGUUUCUGGUGCCCUCCUCCUCCAUUAGGGGAAGCAAUAAGAAGCAAUAUGUUUUGUUGUUUUCUUAUUUGGAGCAGACAUUAUGCCAUCUAUUAAGAUAACUGGCAUUUCAACAGAACCACCAGUUCACUUACAAUUUGAGAAAGCUUCUUGUGUGCUUUCACCAUUAAUAAAAGGAGCACUGCUUAUUAACGUUGUUGGAUGCAUUUCACCUUUCCUACCUUCUUCCAUCUUGCCCCUCCAAGGAGUAAGUGAAAGCUCACAGAAUACUUUCCCAGUAUUCCCCCCCCCCCAGGAAGUAAUACAUUGCAACCAUAGGGGGCAAUGCAAGCUUAUUGGUGGAGCUCCAGGCUGCAUGCACACGUAGGUGUCAGCUGUACACACAGGAUUACCAGGCUACUGUAUGCAGAGAAUGUAUUCCUCUUGGUUUACAUAAACUAACUUAUGAUUAAAAGUAAAGCUGUAUUGUGCCUUUGCCUCCGAAAGUUCAGUUUCUCACUUGUCUUUAGUCUUCUUGAGUUGAUAUGAAGAAGGCAGCAAUUUAUUUUGCUCUGAUCAUUUACAGUGCUGCACACAAAGCAAGCGAACAUGUAAUUUUGAUGGCGUCAAAGUUGAAACAGGCUGGUGUUAGUAUGAGCCUCUUGGUGUGCGCUGACUACAAUCUGUCAGUAUUUCUGACAUAAUUUAAUUUCUGCAAGUGCAUUUCUCCCUGACAUAAUUUAUACACCCUAAUAUAAAUCCCAAGUGUUGAAAUCGAACUUGUACCUAAAUUGUAUUGGAAUUUUCAUGGUAUCUAUUUAUUACAAAAAAAAGCAACAACACUGAAUAAAAUGUAAUUGUCAUAACAAUAAAACUGUAUUUAUACAUUACGUUAUUCAGUUGUAUUUACUUUCGCUGAUUGGAAAGCUCUUUACAGGAAAAGAGCAGAGAAUGAAAAUAAUGAUAAUUUCCAUAUCCUCCAGUAUAAUGCAUGACUACGAGUGUAGGUUUCCCUGCCCCCUCUUCUGUAAUACAAGAUUAUUUAGGAGAAACACAACUGAACUACUAUUAACAUGAUUAGAGGAGCUGCUCUUACAGCCUAUUUUCCCUUAUUUUCAUUUUGUUUCAUUGUAAAACAUGUUUUAGACAAUUACUAUUUACCAGGGAUUUCUUGGGGGGGGGGGAAUGUAAUGUUCAACCUGAAUGUUAAAAUGCACUCUCUGUUUUGAAGCUGAUAGAAAUAUCAUUUAAAUUGAACUCUUCAUGCAAAAGUACAGCAGAUAAAUCACUUAGCAAAUAAACACUCCAUCAGUUGCAGAUUGGAAGUAUCAAGCCUUCUUGUGUGGUAUUUUUUGAUAGGUAUAUGAUGUUUAGGACCAAUCUAUGACUUUAAAAUAUUAGCAGGAAUCCCAAUUGUUGAGAAUCAAGAGGGGAGAGAUAUCUGCAGAAGUAGAAAGCAAAAGGGGGGGGUACCUAAAGGAGCAACACUAAGAACACCAAGUAUAAUCCAGAUACUCCAAGACUGAGAAUGCUAAAUGGCCACAGAAUGCUGAGGGGGAGAAACACAAUGGGAAAUCCUAAAUGAAGGCAUGACUGUCUGGCUGUCUGGAACAUCAAACAGAAAUGCUCCAUGCUACAAAAGGUUUUGGGUUCAACUUUUGAGCUCUAAAACGCAGGUGCUAGUGGAGUCUAGAACUGUUUAGCUCUGUGUUUCAUGUGGAGAGCGAAGCAACUCUCUGGCUCACCUGUGCAGGCACUUCUUCCUGGGAGUAAGGAGUAAUGGAAACUUCCUAUCUUACUGGUGCCUUUUUUGGAACACCACCGUCUACCUUUGUUCUGGUAUGCCUCUGGGUUUCUAGUCAGUCUUUGAAACCAAUUCUUGGCCUGUUCUCCAGUCCCGCAUCUGGUUUUGUCCUCUCCUCCUGCUUUGCCUUCAGUCCUGACUCCUGGCUUUUUCUCCACUCUUGCCCUCUUGUUUUUACUCUUGACAGCCCGGCAACCCAGACUCCUGGUUCACUCCAGAGAUUGGUGCCAAAGGAUUAGCUCUGUAGCGGGUUGGUGGGUACAACUAAGUGCCUGCAAAUCCUUUCCACAAUAGGCUUCUUAGUGCUUUCUGAAGCAUAGUUCUGCAGUCACCUAGAAGUGAAAAAGCAAACAAACACUGGUUCUGUUUCAACCACAAAUAUAGCACAAUAUGCUGCAUAACAAUUCUGUAAUGCCCAUCCCUAUGGGGAAGUUUGUUAGUCUGUUUGCUCAAAAGUAAGUACUGUUUGAGUCUAGAAAAUGUGCUUAGGAAUCCAACAGUUUCCCCAUUUGGUGUGGUUUAAAGCAGUUCCUACUUCUCCUGGCCACAGAUGAGAUCUGUCCAUUAAGUGAUCAUUUUCUGUUCCUUCUUGCCUCACAUGCAUGAUUAAAAAACACAGGAAAACAUUCUUGGAUCAAAACAAGUGACAACAUUAUUGUUUAUAUAUGCAAGUUAAUUUGGCUCAGGCAUUGGGUGAUUUCCCAUUCAGUUAGCCCAUAUGGCGGCUGUUGACCAGGGAGUUGAUUCUGGGUAGGAUUGUCCUGUAACUUACAUCAUAAAGGAGCAGCCGACUUAGGGAGUGUGUAUGAACAAAAACAUCUCCCCUAGGUGAACAUACUGUUAGUCAUUGCUUUACUCUCUCUUUUCUUACUGAUCAAUCGAACUAACAAGAUUGUGUGAAGUAAAGAAUGGAAGUUACCCUUCUCUUAGCACUCAGAUUGUAAACAACAACACUCCAAAAUAACCAUUCAAAACUAAACAUGUUAGAAUGAAAACCAUAGGAACAAAUGACUCGACUGAACCUAAACCACUGAACUGCUUAGCAUCCAGUAAAAGCCCAUGCUGCAGAUAAAUUAAAAUGAUGACUGAAUGGGCAACCUUGCAUUAAAAAGCAUGUACAAGGAUUGCCUCUUUCCUUGAGCUGGUGCCCACUUAAUCACAGUCCCUUAAUUGGUCACAAUUGAUAUCACAAAAGCGCCAAUCCACAAUAGGACCCUUUAGUAAACCUGAGUCACUGAAAAACACCCAGAAGCAGGAUAAAAAUGCUUGUUAAUAUAGUGCAACAUCCCCCAUUAUAGCCCCACAGCUCCCACCCCCACAUAGCUAGACUUGCAAAGCUUGGGGGUGCCGCAGAAUCCCUACAAAAUCCCCACAGCCCACCUUACGACAAAUGUGCAGGUCUAAAAACUGUUGACAUUAGAGGGAAUGUAAAGGUAAAGGUACCCCUGCCCGUACGGGCCAGUCUUGACAGACUCUAGGGUUGUGCGCUCAUCUCACUCUAGAGGCCGGGAGCUGGCGCCGUCCGAAGACACUUCCGGGUCAUGUGGCCAGCGUGACGAAGCUGCACUGGUGAGCCAGCACCAGUGCCGCACACGGAAACGCCGUUUACCUUCCCGCUAUAAAGUGGUACCUAUUUAUCUACUUGCACUUAAGAGUGCUUUCGAACUGCUAGGUGGGCAGGAGCUGGGACCGAACGACGGGAGCUCACCCUGUCGCGGGGAUUCGAACCGCCGACCUUACAAUCAGCAAGUCCUAGGCACUGAGGUUUUACCCACAGCGCCACCCGCGUCCCUUAGAGGGAAUGAGGGAGGAAGAAAAACAAAGAACAAAACUAGAACCAUCCAAGUGCAACAUUUUGAUUGGUUUUACUUAUUUUACUUAUUUAUACAAUUUCACUAUUGCAAAAAAGGAAGGAAGGAAGGAAGGAAGGAAGGAAGGAAGGAAGGAAGGAAGGAAGGCAGGCUCCAGUAUUUAUUGUUAUUAAGGACCAAAAUGCCAGAAAUUAGCCUGCUGAAUUAAAAGCUGCAUUGCACUGAAGAACAUGCACUUAGAGAUACAGAAGAUGAGCAAGCUGAGCAGUGAAUACUUUGCUUGUCUUGGGUCCAUAAGAGACACUCAUGGGCAGUACAAGGCAGAUGUCUUUAUGAGGGUCAACGAAGCACCUUGCUGUUCAUAAAUGAUCCAGAGCAUAGCAAUUGCCGAUUAGAUGUGUGUAUGUGUGUUUUGUGUCCAGCUGGUUAAAAACUUAAAUCUUAUCUUGUUGAAGCAAGUUAUUUCUUCUCUAUACUUUGCAUUGUGAUAUGGCUAUUAGUAAAAAAGACCUUUAGAAGGAGAAACACCAUUCUCUCUGAAUUCAUAGACACACUGAAAUCAUUCUGAUAAACAUAUCUUAGCUUAUUAAACCAAAGUAUAAGCAGUCAUUUUGUUUGUGUGUAGAGCCCCUUCAUUCCUCCUUUAGUCUGAACUGAGAUAAUAUGGUGACAUGCCCUUGAACGACUCAUAGGAUUAGACCAUCUUCAAGCCCUUGUUUAAUGUUCCAGCUGUUUCUAAAGUUUACAACCGUAGUUCCCAAAUUCCGAUGAUAACCUGGUACAGUAGAAUUAAAUAUAUGGCUACUGUAUAAUCAUGCAUUUUGGGGGAGUAACCAGAUGAGCAGAGCAUAAUGAAACACUACCCUUAUUUAAUGGAAAUUGGCAAAAUAUUUGACUAUGUUAUAUAUUGGUUUGUUUUGAUCAUGCAGGUUCUGGCUUUCAUCAGGAAUAUGCUGACUGGAAAUGGCAGAAUAGCAGGUAGGGGAUACUUCCUUUCAUAUACUCUGUGGAGGAGGAGAUUUGAGCACAAGAGAUUGUAUACAUCAUAGAAGAAAGUUAGUGGACAUUGAUCAAUAUUGUGUUCAGUAUAUCCAGGGCUUUUUUUCAGCCGGAGUUCACCGGAGCUCAGCUCCGGCACCUCUCAGGUGGGUGCCAUUGCCAUCUAAGAGAACAAGGGAGAGGCACAUGGUGAGCUCUGGCACCUCUUUUCCUAGAAAAACAGCACUGGUUAUGUCUUUUAUAGCACAGAAACCAUUUCCAUGGAAGCUUUGUGAAUAUUAAAGCAUACGCUUUAGAAAUCCAUUAUAUUUGUCACCUUUUCGCUGUAUUGUGGGUAAGGUUUGCUUCAAUGCAGAUGAGGAACACAAGUGCCAACUGACAAUAUGAAGACGCAUUUCACUCCUAGAGACUGAGAAUAUGUCACAGUAUUCUUAAAAUGAUAUCUUUUCAAAGGCUUAAAGCUGGACACUUCACAUCACAAGGGGAUAUUCAAUAUUUCAAAAACUUAUAUUGGGCAAAUUUUCCUAUGCCAUUCUGCCCUAACAAAAUCCAUUUCAUGUUUUUCUAAUGAUUACUAAGGCAAGAGAUAACGUAUUUUGUAUGAUUGCUGUGGCUGACAUAAAAAUUAGAAUUCGUUACCUUUCAGAGUGUAGUAAUAAAGGGGCAAGGGGCAAGGCACUUCAUAGUGCUUUUACUUUUUAGCCUUAUGAAAAUCUAUGUGCUUCAACAGCAAUAUCCAUAUGCAGUGUAAUAUAUGUCUGUUAGCAAAUACAGCUAAAAAAGCUGCCUCCUGGGGAAAAAACCAUUUUUGAAAAGACCUGCUCUAAAAUCAAAAUUGAAUUAUCUUGGUCAAUAUUUUUUGCUUUUAAUUUUAAUGGCAAAUAUUAAUAGAGCCCUCUAAAUAAAUAAAUAAAUAAAUGAAAAGCCGGGGACAAACUGAUCCCCCUCAUCCCCCAUCUUUUGUUGUUGCAGCGCUGUUUGUAUUUACAUCCAGUCAUUUAUUGCCCAUUAAAGAAGUAAUGCUAUGUUAAUGUAAGGGAAAAAAUCAAUGCUACUCAGAUCAGUAGCUGUGGGGAAACAGUGCAGCAGCUGGUUUGCAAACAGCAAGCCCACAUAGAUCAAUGAAAUUACAAGCUAAAUCUGCUGAUGCUCACAAACCGCUCCAGCAUUGUGAAGUCUAACCUUUCUCAAGUUCAAGAUCUCUGGCAAGCCAGCAAUUGCUAAAUGAAAAGGAGGGUGGGGAGGAGAGAGAAAGGAAAAGAAAGAGAACAUAUCAGUGGACUUGUUUGGAAUUUUCAGCAUCAUAUGUAAUAUUCCACUUUUGAAGUUAUCAGUAUAACUGCACGUUUGUAACAGAUAUAAAAGCCUCUGUAAUCUCUAAGUGAGCAAUGCUGCAAUCUGCACACUUGGGAGAUUUUCUUUUCAAAAAAUGUUCAAAUCUGUCACAUAUUACCUUGAACUGUAACACUGGAGGGGUAGAGAGCACUUCUGUAAUGUGUUUCGUAAUGUGAAUUCCAGGAAAUAAUUUAUAAAUGAACAACAGCAGGACUUCUGGGAUGUGCUAACGGCCUUUUGUUUCAUGCCUUGAAUGGUUGCCUUAAAAAUAUUCCUUUAACUUUGUAUAAUUAAAUCUGUACAUAUUGCAAGAUAGAGUCAUGUUGAUCCUUUACACACAUUUGCCACACAGGAAAACAACCACCAUGGAAACAGUAAGAAUGCAAUCCUAGAGAAGUCUGCUCAGAUAUAACCCCCAUGGAGUUUAAUGGGGCUUACUCACAG